AAUCCAUACAUCAGACAUUUUCGAAUUAAAUCUUUAAAUCAUUCCCAAGCUUCAUAUAACGUUUCAUCCUUUAACUAUUGAAAAGAUGUGAUAUCAUUUCUAAGCUU
This is a small nucleolar RNA of Gossypium raimondii (Peruvian cotton), 107 nucleotides long. It matches the Rfam family "Plant small nucleolar RNA R71". From Rfam's summary of the family: R71 is a member of the C/D box family of snoRNAs containing the C (UGAUGA) and D (CUGA) box motifs. Multiple nearly identical copies of this snoRNA have been identified in Arabidopsis, and it is thought to function as a 2'-O-ribose methylation guide for 18S ribosomal RNA. Lineage: Eukaryota; Viridiplantae; Streptophyta; Magnoliopsida; Malvales; Malvaceae. The record is from Rfam.